This 137-nucleotide ribosomal RNA is filed under the name uncultured bacterium. RNAcentral describes it as "partial 16S ribosomal RNA". It matches the Rfam family "Bacterial small subunit ribosomal RNA", at positions 355 to 509 of the family's 1533-position model. The record is from RNAcentral.
UGGGGGAUAUUGCACAAUGGGGGAAACCCUGAUGCAGCGACGCCGCGUGUGGGAAGACGGUCCUCUGGAUUGUAAACCACUGUCCCCAGGGACGAAGAUGACGGUACCUGGGAGGAAGCUCCGGCUAACUACGUGCC